This 62-nucleotide transfer RNA is filed under the name Stenopirates sp. HL-2011. Its description in RNAcentral is "tRNA-Ala". Lineage: Eukaryota; Metazoa; Arthropoda; Insecta; Hemiptera; Enicocephalidae. The record is from RNAcentral.
AGGAAUAUAGUUAAUUAUAACAUUUAAUUUGCAAUUAAAAAUUAUUCAAAAAAUUAUUCUUA